This 468-nucleotide ribosomal RNA is filed under the name uncultured bacterium. RNAcentral's name for it is "partial 16S ribosomal RNA". It matches the Rfam family "Bacterial small subunit ribosomal RNA", at positions 28 to 507 of the family's 1533-position model. The record is from RNAcentral.
GACGAACGCUGGCGGCGUGCUUAACACAUGCAAGUCGAACGGAAAGGCCCUGCUUUUGUGGGGUGCUCGAGUGGCGAACGGGUGAGUAACACGUGAGUAACCUGCCCUUGACUUUGGGAUAACUUCAGGAAACUGGGGCUAAUACCGGAUAGGAGCUCCUGCUGCAUGGUGGGGGUUUGAAAGUUUCGGCGGUUGGGGAUGGACUCGCGGCUUAUCAGCUUGUUGGUGGGGUAGUGGCUUACCAAGGCUUUGACGGGUAGCCGGCCUGAGAGGGUGACCGGCCACAUUGGGACUGAGAUACGGCCCAGACUCCUACGGGAGGCAGCAGUGGGGAAUAUUGCACAAUGGGCGGAAGCCUGGUGCAGCAACGCCGCGUGCGGGAUGACGGCCUUCGGGUUGUAAACCGCUUUCGCCUGUGACGAAGCGUGAGUGACGGUAAUGGGUAAAGAAGCACCGGCUAACUACGUG